CCUACGGGUGGCUGCAGUGGGGAAUAUUGGACAAUGGGGGCAACCCUGAUCCAGCCAUGCCGCGUGUGUGAAGAAGGCCCUCGGGUUGUAAAGCACUUUCAGUGAGGAAGAACGCCUGGUGGUUAAUACCCAUCAGGAAAGACAUCACUCACAGAAGAAGCACCGGCUAACUCCGUGCCAGCAGCCGCGGUAAUACGGAGGGUGCGAGCGUUAAUCGGAAUUACUGGGCGUAAAGCGCGCGUAGGUGGCUUGAUAAGCCGGUUGUGAAAGCCCCGGGCUCAACCUGGGAACGGCAUCCGGAACUGUCAAGCUAGAGUGCAGGAGAGGAAGGUAGAAUUCCCGGUGUAGCGGUGAAAUGCGUAGAGAUCGGGAGGAAUACCAGUGGCGAAGGCGGCCUUCUGGACUGACACUGACACUGAGGUGCGAAAGCGUGGGUAGCAAACAGGAUUAGAUACCCAGUAGUC
Molecule: ribosomal RNA, 464 nt
Filed under: Vreelandella stevensii
Lineage: Bacteria; Pseudomonadati; Pseudomonadota; Gammaproteobacteria; Oceanospirillales; Halomonadaceae
Description: partial 16S ribosomal RNA
Rfam family: Bacterial small subunit ribosomal RNA
Source: RNAcentral